This 433-nucleotide ribosomal RNA is filed under the name uncultured bacterium. RNAcentral's name for it is "partial 16S ribosomal RNA". It matches the Rfam family "Bacterial small subunit ribosomal RNA", at positions 29 to 507 of the family's 1533-position model. The record is from RNAcentral.
AACGAACGCUGGCGGCAUGCCUAACACAUGCAAGUCGAACGAGACCUUCGGGUCUAGUGGCGCACGGGUGCGUAACGCGUGGGAACCUGCCCUUAGGUUCGGAAUAACUCCCCGAAAGGGGUGCUAAUACCGGAUAAUGUCUUCGGACCAAAGAUUUAUCGCCUUUGGAUGGGCCCGCGUUGGAUUAGCUAGUUGGUAGGGUAAAAGCCUACCAAGGCGAUGAUCCAUAGCUGGUCUGAGAGGAUGAUCAGCCACACUGGGACUGAGACACGGCCCAGACUCCUACGGGAAGCAGCAGUGGGGAAUAUUGGACAAUGGGCGAAAGCCUGAUCCAGCAAUGCCGCGUGAGUGAUGAAGGCCUUAGGGUUGUAAAGCUCUUUUACCCGGGAUGAUAAUGACAGUACCGGGAGAAUAAGCUCCGGCUAACUCCGUG